RNAcentral lists this ribosomal RNA (253 nucleotides) under uncultured bacterium. RNAcentral's name for it is "partial 16S ribosomal RNA". It matches the Rfam family "Bacterial small subunit ribosomal RNA", at positions 524 to 776 of the family's 1533-position model. The record is from RNAcentral.
UACGUAGGGAGCAAGCGUUGUCCGGAAUCAUUGGGCGUAAAGCGCGCGUAGGUGGCCUCAUAAGUCCGUUGUGAAAGUCAAAGGCUCAACCUUUGAAAGCCGAUGGAUACUGUGAGACUAGAGUACGGAAGAGGCGAGUGGAAUUCCUGGUGUAGCGGUGGAAUGCGCAGAUAUCAGGAGGAACACCAAUAGCGAAGGCAGCUCGCUGGGACGUUACUGACACUGAGGCGCGAAAGCGUGGGGAGCAAACAGG